Molecule: ribosomal RNA, 514 nt
Filed under: uncultured bacterium
Lineage: Bacteria
Description: partial 16S ribosomal RNA
Rfam family: Bacterial small subunit ribosomal RNA
Source: RNAcentral
GAUGAACGCUGGCGGCGUGCCUAAUACAUGCAAGUCGAGCGAACAGAUGAGAAGCUUGCUUCUCUGAUGUUAGCGGCGGACGGGUGAGUAACACGUGGGUAACCUACCUAUAAGACUGGGAUAACUCCGAGAAACCGGGGCUAAUACCGGAUAAUAUUUUGAACCGCAUGGUUCAAUAGUGAAAGACGGUUUCGGCUGUCACUUAUAGAUUGACCCGCGCCGUAUUAGCUAGUUGGUAAGGUAACGGCUUACCAAGGCGACGAUACGUAGCCGACCUGAGAGGGUGAUCGGCCACACUGGAACUGAGACACGGUCCGGACUCCUACGGGAGGCAGCAGUAGGGAAUCUUCCGCAAUGGGCGAAAGCCUGACGGAGCAACGCCGCGUGAGUGAUGAAGGUCUUCGGAUCGUAAAACUCUGUUGUUAGGGAAGAACAAAUUUGUUAGUAACUGAACAAGUCUUGACGGUACCUAACCAGAAAGCUACGGCUAACUACGUGCCAGCCGCCGCCGUAA